AUGAACGCUGGCGGCGUGCCUAAUACAUGCAAGUCGAGCGCACGGACGAGAAGCUUGCUUCUCUGAUGUUAGCGGCGGACGGGUGAGUAACACGUGGAUAACCUACCUAUAAGACUGGGAUAACUUCGGGAAACCGGAGCUAAUACCGGAUAAUAUUUUGAACCGCAUGGUUCAAAAGUGAAAGACGGUCUUGCUGUCACUUAUAGAUGGAUCCGCGCUGCAUUAGCUAGUUGGUAAGGUAACGGCUUACCAAGGCAACGAUGCAUAGCCGACCUGAGAGGGUGAUCGGCCACACUGGAACUGAGACACGGUCCAGACUCCUACGGGAGGCAGCAGUAGGGAAUCUUCCGCAAUGGGCGAAAGCCUGACGGAGCAACGCCGCGUGAGUGAUGAAGGUCUUCGGAUCGUAAAACUCUGUUAUUAGGGAAGAACAUAUGUGUAAGUAACUGUGCACAUCUUGACGGUACCUAAUCAGAAAGCCACGGCUAACCACGUG
RNAcentral lists this ribosomal RNA (496 nucleotides) under uncultured bacterium. RNAcentral describes it as "partial 16S ribosomal RNA". It matches the Rfam family "Bacterial small subunit ribosomal RNA", at positions 29 to 507 of the family's 1533-position model. The record is from RNAcentral.